GAACCGUGCGAACGUUAUUCGGAAUCACUGGGCUUAAAGCGCGUGUAGGCGGGCCAUCACGUCGGUCGCUGAAAGCCCCCGGCUCAACCGGGGAACGGGCGCCGAUACGAGUGGCCUGGAGGCGGGUAGGGGGAGCCGGAACUGCCGGUGGAGCGGUGAAAUGCGUUGAGAUCGGCAGGAACGCCCGUGGCGAAAGCGGGCUCCUGGACCUCGCCUGACGCUGAGACGCGAAAGCCAGGGGAGCGAACGGGAUUAGAUACCCCGGUAGUCCUGGCCGUAAACACUGGGCACUGGGUAGGGGACUCGCCGAUGGGUUCCCUGCCGCAGCGAAAGCGUGAAGUGCCCCGCCUGGGGAGUAUGGUCGCAAGGCUG
This 372-nucleotide ribosomal RNA is filed under the name uncultured bacterium. RNAcentral describes it as "bacterial SSU rRNA". It matches the Rfam family "Bacterial small subunit ribosomal RNA", at positions 527 to 896 of the family's 1533-position model. The record is from RNAcentral.